GCCCCUGAGCACCCCCAGGCUGACACACUCCCCUGCCUUCCAUUGUGUCUGUGACACCUGGGCCUGUGCUCAGGUGUGCUGCUUAUGGGUACAUAGCUGGUAUUGCAUCGCUCAACCUUCCACUGGAAGAAAAUUUGAUUAUUCCACUCUAGCCAGCAAUGUCAUUACAUGAAAUGGAAGGGGAACCUUUCCCUUACUAAAUUCUUUAGUGUGUUCAGCUUCUCUUGGUGGGGGAAAACAAGUCUAUAAAAGUGCCACUAGCUUGUUUUAACUUCUGUAUGUGCACCUUCACGCCCUGGAGAGGGGUAUCAGACACAGCCUGACUGCCCGAGCAGUUGCGGACUGGCCCAAUUUCCUGCAGAGUGCUGCGAAGGCCGUAGAUAUCAACUUCAAAGGUUUCCCACCCCCUGAAUUUUCAUAUGCAAUUGAAGAAAAAUACCAUCUAACCCACUGAAUGUUUUGGGAAGCAGAGUGAGAGCAGGCUUGGCUGUUGCAGAGGGGACAUGGAAAGCAAAGGCUGACAGUGGAAGUGGUGCCUCACAGUGUGGCUGUGGGGCAGUGGGACCAGACAGCCACAUGGUGCCCAUCCUCCCUCUUCUGGUCUCCUCCUCGCUGCUGCUGAUUCCAGGCUUAUCCCUCACUCAGGAGAGGACUUCUGGUGCUCCCAGUGCUAUCCUUGCUGAUUGCAAUGAUACUCUUCAGAAGAAUAAAAAAGGAAGAUAAGCCCCAGCUGCAACUUCAAGGAAUGGCUCAAUGCUUCAUUCAUGGCUUGAAAGAACAGCAUUGCUAUCCACAGUGGCAGUUUGUGUCUAUGAACCUUCUUAGAUGGCUCUCAUGCUCAGAUUU
Molecule: non-coding RNA, 846 nt
Organism: Cyanistes caeruleus (blue tit)
Lineage: Eukaryota; Metazoa; Chordata; Aves; Passeriformes; Paridae
Source: RefSeq, a predicted model, not a curated record